Rosa rugosa (rugosa rose) is the source of this 94-nucleotide small nucleolar RNA. The record is from RefSeq and is a predicted model, not a curated record. NCBI's taxonomy places the organism in Eukaryota, Viridiplantae, Streptophyta, Magnoliopsida, Rosales, Rosaceae.
ACUUUAAAAGUGCUUGGACGCCAAAUUGACAUUGUGGCCAUUCUGAUCUGUGGAUUUUCAAUGCCAUUUGAUCCGGGAAACUCCACAAACAUCU